GAAUUCGCCCUUAGAGUUUGAUCCUGGCUCAGGACGAACGCUGGCGGCGUGCUUAACACAUGCAAGUCGAGCGGAGAUGAGAUUGGAAGUCCUUCGGGAUGGAAGGUCUGAUCUUAGCGGCGGACGGGUGAGUAACGCGUGAGCAAUCUGUCCCAUACAGGGGGAUAACACUUGGAAACAGGUGCUAAUACCGCAUAAGACCACAGUACCGCAUGGUACAGGGGUAAAAGAAUAUCGGUAUGGGGUGAGCUCGCGUCCCAUUAGAUAGUUAGUGAGGUAACGGCCCACCAAGUCGACGAUGGGUAGCCGACCUGAGAGGGUGAUCGGCCACAUUGGAACUGAGACACGGUCCAGACUCCUACGGGAGGCAGCAGUGGGGAAUAUUGGGCAAUGGGCGCAAGCCUGACCCAGCAACGCCGCGUGAAGGAAGAAGGUUUUCGGAUUGUAAACUUCUGUCCUUGGUGACGAAGGAAGUGACGGUAGCCAAGGAGGAAGCCCCGGCUAACUACGUGCCAGCAGCCGCGGUAAUACGUAGGGGGCAAGCGUUGUCCGGAAUGACUGGGCGUAAAGGGCGUGUAGGCGGCCGAUUAAGUCUGAAGUGAAAGUCCUGCUUUCAAGGUGGGAAUUGCUUUGGAGACUGGUUGGCUUGAGUGCGGAAGAGGUAAGUGGAAUUCCCAGUGUAGCGGUGAAAUGCGUAGAGAUUGGGAGGAACACCAGUGGCGAAGGCGACUUACUGGGCCGUAACUGACGCUGAGGCGCGAAAGCGUGGGUAGCAAACAGGAUUAGAUACCCUGGUAGUCCACGCUGUAAACGAUGAAUGCUAGGUGUUGCGGGUAUCGACCCCUGCAGUGCCGCAGUAAACACAAUAAGCAUUCCGCCUGGGGAGUACGGCCGCAAGGUUGAAACUCAAAGGAAUUGACGGGGGCCCGCACAAGCAGCGGAGCAUGUUGUUUAAUUCGAAGCAACGCGAAGAACCUCACCAGGUCUUGACAUCGAUGUAAAGCUUCAGAGAUGGAGUGUCUCUACGGAGGACAGAAGACAGGUGGUGCAUGGUUGUCGUCAGCUCGUGUCGUGAGAUGUUGGGUUAAGUCCCGCAACGAGCGCAACCCCUAUGGUCAGUUACUAACGCGUGAAGGCGAGGACUCUGACAAGACUGCCGGGGACAACUCGGAGGAAGGUGGGGACGACGUCAAAUCAUCAUGCCCCUUAUGACCUGGGCUACAGACGUGCUGCAAUGGUGGUUACAAAGAGGAGCGAGCCAGUGAUGGUAAGCGGAUCUCAAAAAAGCCAUCUCAGUUCGGAUUGUGGGCUGCAACCCGCCCACAUGAAGUUGGAGUUGCUAGUAAUCGCGGAUCAGAAUGCCGCGGUGAAUACGUUCCCGGGCCUUGUACUCACCGCCCGUCA
RNAcentral lists this ribosomal RNA (1404 nucleotides) under uncultured bacterium. RNAcentral's name for it is "bacterial SSU rRNA". It matches the Rfam family "Bacterial small subunit ribosomal RNA". The record is from RNAcentral.